UACGUAGGGUGCGAGCGUUAAUCGGAAUUACUGGGCGUAAAGCGUGCGCAGGCGGUUUUGUAAGCCAGAUGUGAAAUCCCCGGGCUUAACCUGGGAAUGGCAAUGGAUACUGGCAAGCUAGAGUGCGGUAGAGGGUAGUGGAAUUCCCGGUGUAGCGGUGAAAUGCGUAGAGAUCGGGAGGAACACCAGUGGCGAAGGCGGCUACCUGGACCAGCACUGACACUGAGGCACGAAAGCGUGGGGAGCAAACGGG
Molecule: ribosomal RNA, 253 nt
Filed under: uncultured bacterium
Lineage: Bacteria
Description: partial 16S ribosomal RNA
Rfam family: Bacterial small subunit ribosomal RNA
Source: RNAcentral